Molecule: long non-coding RNA, 1506 nt
Organism: Acyrthosiphon pisum (pea aphid)
Lineage: Eukaryota; Metazoa; Arthropoda; Insecta; Hemiptera; Aphididae
Exons: 2
Source: RefSeq, a predicted model, not a curated record
AAUAAAUCGUGCACGUGAAUCACAGAUAUAUAAACGUACGUUUUUACAUACCUGUGGGCUGUGAUAGACGCACAAAUUUAGUGCAUUCGCCAUUCGUGCAUUAAGGUUUUACGAGAAUUACGUACCUGAACUUCUGAAACCAGUGGAUAAUAUUCAAUAAUAGAAUAUCUUAGAGUUGGAGAAAACAGUAAACACAAAUCGACAAAUAUGGGAACCAUCAAAAACCAAAAGAAAGAUGCACAUGAAAUCAUGGAAACUAUUUCAUCUGAACACGUGAAAGAUGAUUUUGAUUUGUUUGGCGAACAGCUCGCAAACAAGUUAAGAGAAUUUGAUGAACAUACACGUGCAAUCGUUAUGAACGAAAUUAAUUAUAUUAUUUUUCUUGCUGAAUCAAAUUUGCUCUAAUGCAAUGUUCGUCAUUUUUGCCCACUUAAUUUAAAUACAUCAACAAUUCAAGGUCCCGACAAUAUUCUCAUAAUGCUCCUUGGUUUCUUCAGAGUAAUCUUCCUCACUUGUAAAUUUUCAUAAUGAACUCACCUAUAAAAUACCUGUCAUUAGUAAUAUGACAUUCAGCUUCACAAUAUUCUCUACCUAUCAAAGUAGUUAUUCUUUCCAUUCAUCGCUAAUCUGUUGUAUGUGACCAGUUAAUACAAUCAAGAAUACCAUAAAACCCUUGAAAUUGCUUCACAAUAAAAAAAUAUAAUUUAUUUUCUUAAAUAAUAACUGUUAAUAUAAUUUGUUAUUAUAACAUUAAAAAGAAGGAUAUGCCAAAGAGUUAUUGGUUAUAAGUAAUAAUGUUUAAUAUUGUUUUUCAAAAGAAUGAUUUUUAUUUUAACCACUUAAUAAUCAUGUAUACAUUAAUUUUAAACAUUUAUUUUUUGCCUAUAAAACUAUUUUAAAAAGAUAGUCCUUAGUAAUAUUUUGCUGUAUAAAUAUAUAAUUAAGUACAACCUUUUUAUUAAUUGUUUAGUUUUUUUUUUUUCAUGACCAUUAUACUAUUAAAAUAAGUACUUAUUUUAUUAAUUAAAAUUAUAUUUUGAAAUAUUUAGUUAUUAUUAAUUGAUGGCGUGCCUACACUAUUGAAACCUUUUUAAAAAAAUAAUUAAUUUGUGAUUAUUCUUAAAUAAUUGUGACAUUUAUUUUGGGCCUCUAUACAAAUUGUUCUCGCUAAUACCCAAUAUAAUAUAAUAAUAUAAUGCCUGUCAAGUGUAAGAAUUUAAAAUAUGUGAUAGAUUUAACUCGGUAAUCUUAAAUAAUUAUUUUUGAUAAUAUACGAGAUAAUAUGUUAUUUGAUAUAAUAUUCCAGUAAUUUUACUAUGCAUAUGAUGUUUCAUUCUUCAAAUAUCAAAAGAUUAAACAAUUGUUUAUAAAUAAUAUUUAUGCAGUAAAAAUGUACUACAAAGCUACUUAUUGUUAUUAUGUUAUAUUGCUACUUAGCAAUCUGUAUGGGUAAAUGUUAAUUACUUAAGUUAUAAUUUGGAAAUAUAUCAAUAGUUUUAUAAGUUA